Molecule: ribosomal RNA, 118 nt
Filed under: Oryzias javanicus (javanese ricefish)
Lineage: Eukaryota; Metazoa; Chordata; Actinopteri; Beloniformes; Adrianichthyidae
Source: RNAcentral
GCUUACGGCCACACCACCCUGAAAGCGCCGAUCUCGUCCGAUCUCGGAAGCUAAGCAGGGCCGUGGCUUGUUAGUACUUGGAUGGGAGACCGCCUGGGAAUACCAGGUGCUGUAAGUU